CCGUAACUAUAACGGUCCUAAGGUAGCGAAAUUCCUUGUCGGGUAAGUUCCGACCCGCACGAAAGGCGUAAUGAUUUGAGCACUGUCUCGGCAAUGCACCCGGUGAAAUUGAAGUACCAGUGAAGAUGCUGGUUACCCGCGCCAGGACGGAAAGACCCCAUGGAGCUUUACUCCAGGUUGAUACUGGGGUCCGGUACCAUAUGUACAGGAUAGGUGGGAGACUAUGAAGCAGUGACGUCAGUUGCUGCGGAGUCGCUGUUGGGAUACCACCCUUAUGAUGCUGGGCUUCUAACCAAGGAUCUUGAAACAGGUCCGGGGACAAUGUCUGCCGGGGAGUUUGACUGGGGCGGUCGCCUCCGAAAGGGUAUCGGAGGCGCUCAAAGGUUCCUUCAGAAUGGACGGAAACCAUUCGAAGAGUGUAAAGGCAUAAGGGAGCCUGACUGUGACACCGACGGGUGGAACAGAUACGAAAGUAGGACUUAGUGAUCCGGUGGUAUGAAAGUGGGAUUGCCAUCGCUCAACGGAUAAAAGCUACCCUGGGGAUAACAGGCUUAUCACUCCCAAGAGUUCACAUCGACGGAGUGGUUUGGCACCUCGAUGUCGGCUCAUCGCAUCCUGGGGCUGUAGCAGGUCCCAAGGGUUGGGCUGUUCGCCCAUUAAAGCGGUACGCGAGCUGGGUUCAGAACGUCGUGAGACAGUUCGGUCCCUAUCCGGCGCGGGCGUAGGAUAUCUGAGAGGAGCUGUCCUUAGUACGAGAGGACCGGGAUGGACGGACCGCUGGUGUAUCAGCUGCAUCGCCAGAUGCAUAAGGCUGGGUAGCCACGUCCGGAAGGGAUAAACGCUGAAGGCAUCUAAGCGUGAAGCCCCCCUCAAGAUGAGAUAUCCCUGCUUCGGCAGUAAGACCCCUUAGAGAGUAUGAGGUUAGAUAGGCACAAGGUGUAAGCAUGGUAACGUGUUCAGCUGAUGUGUACUAAUAGGUCGAGGGCUUAUCCAA
RNAcentral lists this ribosomal RNA (994 nucleotides) under synthetic metagenome. RNAcentral's name for it is "bacterial LSU rRNA". It matches the Rfam family "Bacterial large subunit ribosomal RNA", at positions 1934 to 2925 of the family's 2925-position model. The record is from RNAcentral.